AGUGAACGCUGGCGGUAGGCCUAACCCAUGCAAGUCGAACGGCAGCACAGUAAGAGCUUGCUCUUACGGGUGGCGAGUGGCGGACGGGUGAGGAAUACAUCGGAAUCUACUUUUUCGUGGGGGAUAACGUAGGGAAACUUACGCCAAUACCGCAUACGACCUACGGGUGAAAGCAGGGGAUCUUCGGACCUUGCGCGAUUGAAUGAGCCGAUGUCGGAUUAGCUAGUUGGCGGGGUAAAGGCCCACCAAGGCGACGAUCCGUAGCUGGUCUGAGAGGAUGAUCAGCCACACUGGAACUGAGACACGGUCCAGACUCCUACGGGAGGCAGCAGUGGGGAAUAUUGGACAAUGGGCGCAAGCCUGAUCCAGCCAUACCGCGUGGGUGAAGAAGGCCUUCGGGUUGUAAAGCCCUUUUGUUGGGAAAGAAAAGCAGCAGGUUAAUACCCCGCUGUUCUGACGGUACCCAAAGAAUAAGCACCGGCUAACUUCGUG
This 492-nucleotide ribosomal RNA is filed under the name uncultured bacterium. RNAcentral's name for it is "partial 16S ribosomal RNA". It matches the Rfam family "Bacterial small subunit ribosomal RNA", at positions 29 to 507 of the family's 1533-position model. The record is from RNAcentral.